GCGCAGUGAGAGUCGCGAUUUUGGUAACUGCGCACGCACGCACUGCGACGCUUUUGUUUAUUAGUUUGGUCCUUUUGGAAGAUUCGUCCAUUCCUCCUGGGCGCGAGGGUGGUGGCUGAACCCGCGUCAGUGCAGGAAAGACGAGUCACUGUUCGCAAUGUUAUGAUGUUUGAGUUUGUACUGUGAAUGAUCACUAGAAGCCAUUAAACAAUGG
This is a long non-coding RNA of Sinocyclocheilus anshuiensis, 214 nucleotides long. RefSeq lists it as uncharacterized. Lineage: Eukaryota; Metazoa; Chordata; Actinopteri; Cypriniformes; Cyprinidae. The transcript has 3 exons. The record is from RefSeq and is a predicted model, not a curated record.